RNAcentral lists this ribosomal RNA (260 nucleotides) under uncultured bacterium. RNAcentral's name for it is "partial 16S ribosomal RNA". It matches the Rfam family "Bacterial small subunit ribosomal RNA", at positions 793 to 1055 of the family's 1533-position model. The record is from RNAcentral.
GUCCACACCGUAAACGUUGGGCGCUAGGUGUGGGGUCCAUUCCACGGAUUCCGUGCCGCAGCUAACGCAUUAAGCGCCCCGCCUGGGGAGUACGGCCGCAAGGCUAAAACUCAAAGGAAUUGACGGGGGCCCGCACAAGCGGCGGAGCAUGCGGAUUAAUUCGAUGCAACGCGAAGAACCUUACCUGGGUUUGACAUACACCCUGCCGCCUCAGAGACGGGGCUUCUUUUGGGGGUGUACAGGUGGUGCAUGGCUGUCGU